AGGUUUCUGCAGAAAUAAUUUAAAUUAUACAAAUAUUGAAACGGAUGCCAUUAGCACCAAAACGAAGACAAACGGGCUGAGACAGCCAUGGGCUCUGACGGUGGCUCUGUUCAUUUGGGGUAUGGUCCUUUCAGUAUCAGGUACUAUUUUCGUCCCAGGUUUGCAGAUGGGAAGGAAAGCUGACUCAUUAGGCUCUGGUCCAGUAGAGCUCUCCUGGGCAGGGUUAAGUUUCUCUUUUUGAUAUCUGUAGUUCCUCUUUUCAAAACUCCACAGCAAAAGGAGAAAAUCUGGCCCUGGCUAAACGGCUGGAUGAGUUUGCUCUCAGUGGCCUUACUGACCAACUAGUAUCUACAGCGAAUCACAGGCAGAGGCCACCAUCUGUCGGUCAUCAAGGAGGGGCCCUGUGAUGGUCUUCAAAGCCUUAUCCAAACCCCUCCUCCUGACACAGAUUUCUGGUUCUGUAGCCAAGCCUCUUGUCUCAUCCCUUCAAAGUCAGCGUAAGGUAAGAAUUUAACACAAGACACCGGGUUCAUUUAUCUCUGGGGCUUUUUAUUAAGAAUAUAAAUGCAGCAACAUGUCUGUCUGGCUAUUAGAGUUAAGAUUUUUUCUGUGGGUGUUCUAGGUCAAAUAUUUCUCCAAUAAAGGUUUAAAAUGUGUACAUCUCUCUGAGAUCUAAAAGAAUGUUUUAAAAAAUAGAAAACACUGUCUAGUGUAUCCCUGUGAAGAAAAAUGUGUGCCCCCCCCCCCAGUAUCUGUAAAAGAUUUGGAGAUCAUAUUCAAUAUAGCCUUUAUGUAUAAAAUUUAAUUGGAGACAGUUUGGUUCCAAAGGACCAGCUGUUAGAAAUAAAGCCAGACAUGGUCACUCACUCUGGUAACCCCCAGCAUUCAGGACACUGAAGCAGGAGAUGGUUACCAGGUUGAGGCCAGCCUGGGCGACAGGGUGAGACACAGUCUCAAAACGAACCAAAUAGGAGGGCUAGUGAGACAGCAGGAAAAGAUAUUUGCUGCUAAGCAUGAUGACCUGAGUUUUAUCCCUGAGGCACACAGGAUGGAAAGAGAAAAACUGCCUCCUCUGACACCCUCACACACAAGUAAAUAAAUGUACCAACAAUAUUUCUUUUAAAAAGGAAAAGAAAAAAGAAACGCCCUUUCAAAUGAAAUUUAAAAAAAAAAAGUUGAGCUUGAAAAGUAAGAAAAUUUUUAUUAGUCUUCUUAUCCCUCUAAAUCUUCAGUCUGCUUUUCAAAUACUGAAGCUUUCCUGGCUCCUACAUCUUCUUAACUUUAAAAUUCAUCACUGUAAGUUUUGACAGAUCAGUGUAUGUUUCUGUGGUUGUUAGCAAAUUGUUUCCACUUAUAUCAUUUUCUGUGAGAUAGACCUUUUAUUCUGGUUCAGCAUUCAGUGUUAUCAAAAUAGUACUAAGAAACUAAGACUCUGUGUGUGAGGGAGGGGGUAGGGGGAGAGGGAGGGAGAGAGAGAGAGAGAGAGGGGACAAGAACUCGUGUGCUUGCUAAAGCACAAUGUCGGGGGGUGUUCCUCAACCACUCUCCACAAGUGGCUGGACUGCUUGCCUCAGGACUCCUCCUGCCUCCGCUUUCCAGUGCUGGACUGCACAGUGUGUAUGCGUGUGUGUGUGGGGGGGGGGGGGCACACUCCCUUGCUGGCUUGCUACUUGCAGCAUCCCUUUAGUCUCUCUGGUGAUUGACACUGCUGUUCUACGGACUCACGUGACUGAAACCCUUCAACUCCUGCGUGGUGUGAACAGCCACUUCCACAUGCUCUCAGCAGCACCUGUGACGUUCAGUGGGGAUGGUUCACUGCCAGUGAAAGUUUCCCCAGUUCUUUAUUUUGAGAAGGCAGCCUGGAGGCAAAACCCUCUAGACACGCAGAGUCCGGCUGCUCUGCUUGUUAUAGAAUGAGGAAGAACUGAGGGCCAGAGAGCAGCGCACGCAGGCUGGCUCAGAGCUGGAGCACAGGCUCAGUCUCACCUCUCCAUCCUAGCUCUGGAAUCGUCCCCAUCCCCUCCUGGCCAUGGCCAACUGGAGAAGACCCCAUGAGACAAGGUAAAAGUGACACUCCUUUACGAUAACCCAGGACUGGAUACAGCUGAAGUGUACGGACAUUUAGGGACAUUCAGAUCCAGGAGUGAAAUGCACACUAGUGUGGGUUGUGGGCAGAGAAUCUACACUCCGGAUCCAUUUCAACAUUAACAGGUGCAGAAUUUGGAAAUCAGGAUUCCCUUAAUGUACUAGCUUGUCUACGGGAUCUAGCAGUGCCAACCUGCAUGGGUUUUAUAUACUUGAUGAUGGUCCUGGCCACUGUUUCUCACUGACACAGAUAAUCAAGUGAAUUGCUCGGCAAUAUGGGUCAGAUCUGCUGGAAAUUACGACCCCUAAGUACUUCCUAAAAGGAAAAGAGACUCAAAGAAAAUGCCAGGUUAGCACCAUGAAACAUGCCAAGCCCACCAGGCACUCCAGAGAACGAGGGCUACAGGAUACAGGCUCACCUUUCAUCGAGUGGCUUCUCCCAGGUAAGAGGGAAAGGAGGAAUCCUGGCUCCACCCUACACCACAGUCACUUCUUUUGUGAUAAAUUGACAUGAGAACACUGAAUUAUCUUAAAAAUGCUCUCUUUAAAACGGAACCAAAAGCUGAGAGCUAGUAAGAGACUGAUGUAAUCACCACAGAACUAACAUAGUACCCUCCCACCUCUGCCAUGCUGGAAAACAGUGCCUGUGAAUCUCACACAGGUAAGAAAGGUUGUUUGUUUAUUUGUUUGUUUGUUUGUUUGCUUUGUAUUGUUCUGUUCUUUUCAAGCCCAGAACAAAACCAACACAAUUACCUACUUAAAACAGGUUUCACUAAUCUCUUCAUUUCAAACAUUUAGAAAAUCAAUGAGAUAGAUAUUGAAUUUAGUUAGUUUUUUUUCUCUUCAGAAAACCUUUCGAGGAUUUAUCAGUUAACAGCCAAUGUCAUCCUAAAGAAAAUACAACAUAACACAAGCAUCCAGCACACAAAGAUGACACUCUUAACUACGCAGGAGGACCUACUUGUUCUGGGCAAAGGAAGGGAUUUAACAUCCUAAAACUAAAACUGGCUUUCUCUGCAGGUUUGACUCUAUACUUCCUGGUCCUUUUACUCUCUUCUCCAUCUCUGGUCGAACAGUAGAUACUACCCCACACAUCCCAGAAUAUUUGCUGAAUAAAUGAAUUCGAGUGUUUCCAUGACUCACAUUGGUUUAUGAAGACUCUUGACUCAUUUUGCUAAUUUAAAUGCUUCAAAUAAUUUUUCUUAACUGGGUCAGCAAAAAUGGUUAGUUGGACCUCAUGUCAUGAUUGAGAAGAAUUGGAGAAAUUCUUGAAUCUGUGCCAUGGUCAGUCUAGGUCAGUGGUCCAGGUCACACUGGAAGAAACAGUUCUUGACAUUGCCAUAGCAAAAAAUUUCCUUGGUGAAAGUCCCAUGAGAAGCUACAUUCUUUAAACCACAGAAGGAAAUGAAGGGCCAGAGCAUCCAUGAAUAAUUUUAACCCUGCGGUCUCAAUGAACAAUUAGAGCUGGACAUAAGUCCAGCUAACAGAAUGUGCAAAGAAUAGGAAGUCGUGCCUGGGACAUAGUCACCACCCAGAAUAGGACAUAACAGCACACAGCUCGAGGCACAACUGUGGUCAGGAAAGAAGAAUCAUGAGGGAUUCUCCACAGGAAACACCAAGGUGCCUGCUAGGAUUCUCCUGGGUGCAUUUGAGACAUCACACCCACAAGUUCCUAGGAGACAGGACCCAAAUUCUGUGAUUCCUUUCUCAGGAUGGUCAACCACGUUGAGUAUUGCUGAAGAAAAGACAAUAGUCCCACUUAAACUUCGCAAAAACAUGUAUGUCCUGUGCUUGUUCUUCAACAUGGUUUCUGACUAUGGAAGACUAGAAGAUUAUCUAUCCCUCAGUUACCACAAAGGUCAAGUCUGAAGCUCCUGUAUGGCAGCAAAAACAUACUCCCGCCAUCUAGCAAGUACAUCAGGGGAAGCAACAAUGUCCACAGGGCAGAGUGUCAGCCUCCUUGAAAGAGAGAAGCAAAUAAACUUUACCCAAAUCCUGCCCUGCUUGCCUGUCAACCCACAAGCACUCUGUUGGCUUCCCUUCGGCAGUCACUGCAGUUUCCUACCAUACAGCGCCAUCUUUUUCUACUUCAGUACUGCCAAUGCCUAGUGCGGAUCCUUACUAAGUGUUGAGGCAAAUGGAAGAAGCAAGCGCCAGAAAACCACAGAUUAUCAUUUACAGAAAGGGGCCAGAUGCUCUAACCAUUAUACAUGACUGUCCAUUUGCCAACCAGCUGCUGUUACAAACUUUUAUUAUAGAGAGGUUAAAAAAAGUCAUGUGAAGGAUUUCGCAGCUGCAAACCCUCGCCUUGCCCUGCCAACUCUUGAACAUGCAGAACAGGCUUUCCAGCAGGAUGGACUUGUCGCAACGUUGCUCAUAGGCCGGGCCUCCAGUGGACUGACCCACAGGCUUAAUUUAGAGAGUCAGGAUGAGCGGUCCAAAAGAAACGCUUGGGAAAUUGAUACGCCAACAGUCUCUAUAGGCUAUCCAAGUCAGCCAGACUCCAAAAAGUAGUCGUUUUACCAUAAAAUCAUUUUAUGGCUUCCUACCUAAAAUUUACUAGCUCUUCUGUGUCAUAAAAAAAAAAAAGACUCUUUAAAAACUUCCUUUCCAGUAAUCACUACACUGGGUUUUCUUCUUUCCCUGCAGUGAAGGCUGAGACUAACAUUUCACUCAGUCAGCACUACGCUUUCGCAUGCAAGUGUGGGUACCUUCCUGGAAAGUUCCAUCGGCUUCCACGGCCUUAACAUCUAUAAAUGAUUGGACUAAAUUUAUGGGAUACGAAACAGACUAGACUGCUAUUUAUUCCCCUUUAAAACAUUUAAAGCAUUUGAAAUAUUCAUUUAAGGCUCAGCCUUUACUUGGUAGAACUGGGGGGGGGGGGCAGGCGUUAUAAAAUUUCUAUUAAUUUGUUGAUUAAGUGAGAAAUCAUAGGAAAAAGUUGCAGAAAUAAUGACUCUCGUACAAGGAAUGAAGGGUUUUAGGCUGCUGGGUCACUGUGGUUUAUAGAUACUGGAGACAUUGGACGAAUCUAGUAAGCAUUAUUGACUGACCAAUGGCCCACAUCUGAAAGACACUGGGUCUGUUUCAACAUCCUGGCUGCAAACGCAGCACACACAUCUACCCGCACUAAGUUCAAAGGGAGAGCGAGAUCCAGGCAGACUCGCUGGACUUUGCAGAUUAUUGCUUCAAACUUAUUUUCACAAGAUGCCCCUUUGCUUCUGAGCCUCAGUGUGCUCUUUUAAAGCAAAGCUUAAAAGCCAAGCUGCUUUUGAUUCUCAAAAACAAAACAAAAACCGAGAAAUUCAGCAAGAGCGUCCUUUCCUUUUCAACGCUGGGAGACAGAGAGAAAGAAGGACAGCCCUGGCUGGGGCAACGGAGAAGAUGAAGAACUAGGAACAGGGUCACUUGACUGAAGCACCGCACAAAAGAAGGAAUUCUCAAUACCUACUUUGACAGACAGCAAGACCAACAUGCAGAAACACAAAUACAGGAAAAUACCUUAUCAGAGUAUUCAAUGGAACAUGCCUAAGCCACGUGAAACUGCAUGCGGACUCUGACCUCUGAUGUUAGCCAUAGCAGACUUACUUGUAAUGGCAUUCCUUCACAUGCAGACAACACGAAACAUUCAAUGGUAAUAUCAUCAAGACAUCAAUCUUUAAAUACAGACCUAAUGAUGUUUAUAUUAGAUGCAACAAAAGACACGGCAUUAAACAGGCAUGAAGAAUGAAAUUGUCAACGCUUUCCCAUGAGUAAACUGUAUGGCUACGGAUGUGACAAACUCCAACUCCAGACAAGGCUGGUGGCUUUGACAGUCUCUCCACAGGGGCAUUAUUUUAUCAAGCUCAGUCAUUUUCCAGUUAGCACCUGAUGUUUUCUCUGGGGUUCAAUGUGCUUCAGUGGCCUGAAUACAGGCUGUGGGCUCAACACUAUGCCUUGAAUCUUGGCAUCAAGAGCCGUGUCCAGCAACUCAGUCAGAGGCUCAACCUCCACCCCCAUGAAUGACUUACCAAUGACAUGUAACUUAAAGGGAACAACUAAGUUAUUACAACUAAGCCAGAGGUUAGAGAAAUGAGCUCAUGAACUCGACUACUGUGUUAUACAACAGAAGGUACGGGUGAUCUUGAAGAAUCUUUGGAUUACAAGAUGUGAAACUGCAUUUAACAGAGCCUUAAAGUUGCACACACUUCUUUAUAUCCAGAUUCUCUGUAAGUGGCUGUGAUCCUGUUGCUCACAAUGAGCAGGUGUACUGUUUUGGGAAGGCCAUCAUUACUGGAUGUCUUAUAGCAUGCUUCACCGCUGUAACUUGGCUGUGGGGCUGGAUCAGGAAGGAGGAGGGCACAGUGUGAUGGAACUGAAACAGAUUACACCAAAGAGUCUGCGCAGUAAGGAUGAAGAAAGGAGACAGGAUUAGAUUUCCAGUAGGGUGGGGAGCAUUUCAUGGGCUGCAAGGAAUUCCAAAGCAAUUAGGUUCUUGCUUCAUUGCCAGGCUUCUAUGAAUCUGGUGAGGACCAAGAGCACUCAGGAGUAUGAGAAUCAUGGGCAAACAAAGGUCUUGUGCAUUUCCACGAGGCCCCUCAGCUCCUAGGUGCCCUAGUACUAGCAAGGAAGGUUGACGAUUUGCAGGAUGGUUAGGAGGUGGGCACAACAGAGGGUUUGGUACGUCGAGGCACCAGUGAGAGUUUAGCUUGUGUUAAAUCAGAGACAGGGGGAUCACUAGCUUCCCAAUGACUGGAUCAGGACACAGGCUUAGGCAGAAGCACUGAAGCGAGACACUUUGCUGUGUGGCUGGAGCUGAACGGCGUCACCCUCUCCAAACUGAGCCGAGCAGGAAUCGGAUGGGCACCAGCAUGCGACUCAGCUGUCCUAAUCCCAGACAUUUGUUCCAUGCCCUAAGAAGUUCUAAGGGAGCUAAGAAGCAAAUGGCACAGGGGGUUCACUAGAACAUUAGCCUUACAGUGGGAGGGAUGACUUCUUAACUGAAGACAGGCUUCCUCCAUGCUGAUGUGCUACACCCAGAUAAAUUACUGUAUCCGUUUGCUACUGUUAGAGCCCAGGG
Molecule: long non-coding RNA, 7144 nt
Organism: Mus musculus (house mouse)
Lineage: Eukaryota; Metazoa; Chordata; Mammalia; Rodentia; Muridae
Product: predicted gene 2065
Exons: 4
Source: RefSeq, a predicted model, not a curated record